Molecule: ribosomal RNA, 19 nt
Filed under: Muriella sp. L20
Lineage: Eukaryota; Viridiplantae; Chlorophyta; Trebouxiophyceae; Chlorellales; Chlorellaceae
Description: partial 26S ribosomal RNA
Source: RNAcentral
GAGCUGAGCUCAGGCAAGG